GGAGGCAUCAUCGACAGGCGCCGCCACGGUGCACGCCUUCAUCUCGAAGCGGUAGGACUAGGUAUCAUUGACCUCGGCGGCGAGGGGGGCGGAGUUGCUAAAGCCCUUGGCGGCUUGGGCCCCGCUAGUCGCGCUGCUGAAGCCACACGCACCAGCGCCUGGCACUGUCGCUUCUUCACCUACUUCAGCCCGGCGCGCAUCCACUUGCACUCCAUCCGCACCACCGCGUCAAUCUUCGCUCUAUGUGGUCACAACUCCAACAGUAGUGCAUCUCCCACCGCCAUAGCCGAGGCCACGAACCACCCACUCAUUGACGUCAUUGCCGACUCCACCAAUCGGCUCAUCGGUGCAGCCACCACAACCAACUGCAUCAUCCCUGGGAUCGGCAGCAGCGCCGCGGACACCACUAACCCCACUGCUGUUGUUGCAUGA
This 432-nucleotide long non-coding RNA is filed under the name Oryza sativa tropical japonica subgroup. RNAcentral describes it as "lncRNA OsAzu_08g0011550". The record is from RNAcentral. Lineage: Eukaryota; Viridiplantae; Streptophyta; Magnoliopsida; Poales; Poaceae.